Molecule: transfer RNA, 78 nt
Filed under: Myxococcus fulvus
Lineage: Bacteria; Pseudomonadati; Myxococcota; Myxococcia; Myxococcales; Myxococcaceae
Description: tRNA-Ser
Source: RNAcentral
CCAUGGACGGGCCCCCAUGGCGGGGUGCCGCCCUUCGACCGGGUGAAGGUCGAGCAGUUCGAGCCGGCGUUCGAGGUC